CACAUAGUCUUUCCGACCUUAUGCGACCCUUCCACAUCAAGAUUUCACACCCAAGACCUCGUAUACCCCGAGUCGCUGGGUUGUCGUGGCCAGGAGUCGGCACAGUGUGAACGGGGCUUUAGCCAGUGGUGGGUAAAGACAGAGGGGAGGCGUGACAUCCGGGUUACCACAGCUUACCUUCCCCAGGUUUCCCCAGGUACCCAUCUAUCGACCAGUCUAAAAGAGAGGGUGAACAGCUCUAUCACCAUCCCCUCCGCUUUCCCCUCCUCUCCUCGCCUUAUCUUGCAACUGCUCCUGCCCCCUCCCCAACCCUAAGACCUCUCCCCGUCACGCCCGCCAGCUCUCCCACCCCUCUAACACUCACACUCGGCUCGCGCUCGUUUUCUUCAUUAGUGUGAGUUCAGGCAGACCCAGACACACAGGGAGUCAGAGCACCAAGAACAACAAAUAGCUAAGUUUGCCGUUGAGUGUGCCUUUAUCACAUUACCCUACAGUCACCAUGCUCACCCGUCAGACAGCGAUUAUUUUCCUCAUCCUCGUGGCCGUCAUCGCCAUCUACAGUGUCUCCAGGUAUUCACUUGAUGAGAAGUUUGCUUCCGUGCUCGUGGCGAGAUGCAUCGACACCAGCAGCAGCAGGAGCGCCUCGCCCCCGGCCCCAGGAGCAUCAAGGGACGGGGCCUUCUACCGGGAGGCAGACAUCGCCACGUGGGACGAGGACUGGGGUAAGGCCGCCCCUAGUUUUCUCCGUCCCUCCCUUCCUCCCUCUUUCCUCCUCUUCAUUAGUUGCCAUUAUAAGUUACGGGACUUACGGCAAAUACGAUCACGGUAUGGAGAAUGUGUGAGGACCCGUAUCUACCUCGUGAACGCCGGAUGUCCAGUCCCGAAGGCAAUGAGAGGUUUCGUCUCCUGAAUAUUUCGCUCAAGGCUGUUUUGCUUUCUAGCAUCUACAGCCUAAUUUGAUGUUAGGUGGGUAUUGUUUUUGAAGGUGUGGUUAGUUCGACUUCUAGUCUUAAAAUAUAAGUGCUUUACACAAGCGGUAGACACACCGAAACUGUUAUUAAUAUUAUUAAACAAAGGGUAAACCGUCAUCGUUGCCACGGAGACAAAUGCGAGGGGCCUCAAGCAGCGAAGAGACGAACUGAGAGCAAAGCCAGUCUGCGGGUCAUGUGACGUCUUACGAUAAGCACACUGAUGAGAGGUGUUGAGGCUU
This is a long non-coding RNA of Eriocheir sinensis (Chinese mitten crab), 1210 nucleotides long. RefSeq lists it as uncharacterized. The record is from RefSeq and is a predicted model, not a curated record. The transcript is spliced from 3 exons. NCBI's taxonomy places the organism in Eukaryota, Metazoa, Arthropoda, Malacostraca, Decapoda, Varunidae.